Molecule: ribosomal RNA, 456 nt
Filed under: Kodamaea ohmeri
Lineage: Eukaryota; Fungi; Ascomycota; Pichiomycetes; Serinales; Debaryomycetaceae
Description: eukaryotic LSU rRNA
Rfam family: Eukaryotic large subunit ribosomal RNA
Source: RNAcentral
CGGCNAAAGCUCAAAUUUGAAAUCUCCCCGGGGAGUUGUAAUUUGAAGAUUGCGUCUUGGAGGCGACCGUGUCUAUGUUCCUUGGAACAGGACGUCACAGAGGGUGAGAAUCCCGUGCGGCACGGCCCCCGGCUCCUUAUAAGGCGCUCUCGACGAGUCGAGUUGUUUGGGAAUGCAGCUCAAAGUGGGUGGUAAAUUCCAUCUAAAGCUAAAUACAGGCGAGAGACCGAUAGCGAACAAGUACAGUGAUGGAAAGAUGAAAAGCACUUUGAAAAGAGAGUGAAACAGCACGUGAAAUUGUUGAAAGGGAAGGGCAUGCCGUCAGAUUGUCAGUGUGGGUAAGAAGCGGGGUACAAAGACUGUGGAACGUGGCCCUCGGGUGUUAUAGCCGCAGUUCAUGCCCCGUCUCUUUCCGAGGCCUGCUUUGAGGACACCGACGUAAUGACGGUACGCCGC